RNAcentral lists this ribosomal RNA (253 nucleotides) under uncultured bacterium. RNAcentral's name for it is "partial 16S ribosomal RNA". It matches the Rfam family "Bacterial small subunit ribosomal RNA", at positions 524 to 776 of the family's 1533-position model. The record is from RNAcentral.
UACAUAGGGGGCAAGCGUUGUUCGGAAUUACUGGGCGUAAAGGGCGCGUAGGCGGUCUGUUAAGUCGGACGUGAAAUCCCCAGGCUCAACCUGGGAACUGCGUCCGAUACUGGCAGGCUUGAAUCCGGGAGAGGGAUGUGGAAUUCCAGGUGUAGCGGUGAAAUGCGUAGAUAUCUGGAGGAACACCGGUGGCGAAGGCGGCACCCUGGACCGGUAUUGACGCUGAGGCGCGAAAGCCUGGGGAGCAAACGGG